RNAcentral lists this long non-coding RNA (25426 nucleotides) under Vigna radiata. Its description in RNAcentral is "long non-coding RNA (VRAD_LNC004503)". The record is from RNAcentral. Lineage: Eukaryota; Viridiplantae; Streptophyta; Magnoliopsida; Fabales; Fabaceae.
AAUUUGAGACAAUGGAUCAGCUAAUGAAUGGAUUCUGCACAGAUGAAGUUCCAAUAAUUGAACCUAAUGAGAUUCUAAUGCCUUGUGCUCCUUCCUCUUCAGCCACCUCUACAUCUUCUUCAAAUUCAACCAACAUCCUUGAAGACCUGCAGCUACCUGAUUUUGAAUGGUUUUGUGAUUACAUUGAUAGUAGUCUUAGUAAUAACAAUAACAACCAUGAAGACAAGAACACCAACAAUAGCUGUGUGGCUUUGUGGGAUGAUGAUGACUUUACUAGCAAACUUAAUUGGCUGAUCUCUGAAGACGAUGACUGUGAUGGUCCUCUCACUCAAUUCUCAAGAACUGUUACGGAUUCAUGGGCUUUUGGCUUGUUUUGAUUUCAAAUUUUCUACCCUUUUCCUUUGUCCUGUUUUCAAUCUGAUUCUAAGUUUUUAAUUAAAAAGAAUAAAUAGAUAAUGAUUAGGAAGAACACAGCUCUUGUUAAAGCAUUACCAACUUGCCUCCUAACUUUUCACUUUUUCAUGUACAAAUAAUAUGUAUGUGCGAUAUGAUAAUGGAAAUACAUUCCUUUCUUUACUUUUAUAAGUUUUUUUUUUUUCAAUGUAAAGAGCUUUACACUUUUUAUUACAUGUAUAAUUUAUUCUUGUCUUUUCAUUAGCAGCACUUUCUGUUUAUUUCUUUUAUAUUGACACAAUUCUCGAAUAUGAAAAUUCUUGCCACUCAACCUUGUGGCAUGGGUGGAAGCAUGCUGAUUUGUUCUAUUGAGUCGCACUCACUUUUUUAUUUUUAUUUUUCAGUGCAAUUGAUGAUGUCGUCUUACUGCAAAUUUCAAAGUCCUUAUCUUUAUAUACAUACAUACAAUAUAUACAUACAUACAUAUAUAUAUAUAUAUAUAUAUAUAUAUAUAUAUAUAUAUAUAUUACUUACACCAUUUGAAGAGACUCUAUUAAAUAUUGAUAAUUAACUUUUUAUUUUGUCAUGCGAGACAAAACUAAAAGAAAACAGCACUAUUUUACUUUUUUAAAAUUUAUUAUCAGUUAUGAUUUUCUAAAAGGAUAUACAACUUCCACUCUUUAUUCUAUUACAAAACUUAAUAAAACAUAAUGUCAAAAUAUAUCAAUACUUAAAGGUAAUAUUAUCGUUCAUGAUAAAUGAAUUUAUUUUAAUAUUAUUUUGUUUCCUUUUUAUAUAUUAUUUACCUUUCUAUACUCAUGGACUUGAACAUUAAAAAGAAUUUGCAAAUGAAACUCUAUUUAAUACAUUAACUAAGAUUCAAAGAGAUUAGAGAUUAUCUCUCAUAUUAAAAAAUAUUUAAAUUCAAUUAAAAUAUCUUGUAUAUGCUACAGGAUUAACAAGACUUUUCUUGAUGUAAGAAUUAAAAAAUAGGUAAUAGAGUAUAUAGGUAUAUUAAAAUAUUGAGACGAGCAUUUUAUAAUAUAAAUAGAACUUUCUAAAGCUCGGUUCAUUAUCUUAAACACUUCAUUUCUCUAAAACAUUGUUCUCUACUCUUUCUCUCACUUCUCUCUCUAGGAUUUCUCUCUACUGAGUUGUCUGAUUGACGAUCAGGGGGUGUCCAAAUGUUCACGACGUAGAGAGCUACACAAUUGAUCAAUCAAUUUCUUGAUUCUAGCUGGUAAGCUGUUCUUCCCUUUUCUCCGCAUGUUCUUGAACCUGGAUCAUGCAAUUUCUGUUGGUUGCAUGUGUCUUGUGUUUUUCCUCUUUAACUCUUUGUUUAAUUCUAGCUCUAAGAGUUUUUUUUAUCACCAAUUGGUGGUUUGUAGGUUUCUGUUGAGUUUCCUUGCGGUUCAAGGCAUUGUCAGAGUAAGUCUGUGAGCUGGGCUGUUUAUUUCUGAGGUAAGGGGAGCUGGAUUUUUGUUUAAAUUAGUAGUAUGAUAUGUGUAUGUACUGAAUUCUGUGUUUUGGUACUGUUUGAGUUGAAAUUUGGUUUUGUGUAGCUUAAAAUCAUGUGUUGUUUGAAUGCCAAAUGAUGAAACUGUGAAAUGUUGAUUGUGAACUGAAUUGGAUAGUGUGUGCAACUGUAAUUGAACCUGUGUGAGGUGUGUAAUAUGUUAUAUUAAUGAGUAGAUAGAAAGGGAAGUGAAUUAUGCAUGUUUUGAGCCAAUUUAGAGGAAAUGGAGUAGUGAAAUUGAGAGUUAGGGGUUAAGGACUCAAUUAGGCUGUUAGAACAGUUUGGGUAAGUCAAUUGUGACUUGUUAGAGUCAUCAAAGUGGUCAAAAACAUGUUCAAAGUGGUAAAUCUAAGAUUGGGUCCUUAAGUUGAGGAUAUUGAUGUUUUAGAAUAGGAUUUGGUUCAUAAUCCCUUUAGAUUGAUGUUAGGAAGGUUUAGAAUCACUUAGGCAAGUCUAAUUAGGUAUAUAACACAAUCUAGAAGCGUUAGAAGUUGGGAAGAAUAGUUAGAAUUGGUAUUUGGGUCUUGAGUUGCAUAAUUCUGCAGAAUUUCAUCCUGCAGAUUAUGCAGACUCGCUGAGUGAAUGGAUUCGCACAGCGAGUCGUCCUGGAAUUUGCACAGCGAAUUGGUGAGUUGCGCUAAUGGUGAGAGAGUUGCUCUCUGUCUGGUCAUUUGCACAGCGAGUCUGUGCACUGUGCGAGUGAUUUAAGAUGGUUGCUCUCAAUCUCCUGAUUCGCGUAGAGAAUCUGGACGCUAUGCGACUGGUGGUGGUCUAGGAUUAUUGCCGGUUUAAUUCAAAUGGCGAAUUGGUGCGUACAACAAGUGUUUGGGGGGUUUGGUCUCUGUCUAGGCUUUCGCAUAAUGACCUGGGUGCAUUAUGCGAGGAGCUUGAGGUCUAGUGUCUCUACGAGUUAAUUCGCACAACAAGUUGUAUCGUUGUGCGAGAAACUUCUAGUCUCGCUCUGCGAAUGGGGUGCAACGUGCGAAAGUUCUGAGUUUAGUUUACUAUCUUUUUCUAUUGUCUUGUGUUGUACUAUGUUGGGUGUUGCUUGGUUUGUGAAGUAUGUUUGAGAGUGUAUUGUAUUAUAUAAUAGAGGAUAAACAUGGAUAUUAAUUACAGAUAAAAAGUAUGUGAUUAUAAAGGGAUGAAAUGUAUGUUUCAAAGUAGAAUCUCUUGGUGAGAUUCCAACUUGUUUAGAAUGAAUGCAGGAGCUCAGUCUUGGGGGUUAUCAUGAAACUCCAAUGGUCUUUCAUUCUUAAGUAGAGAGGAUUGAACCAUGUCAUGAGGAGUAACGGGGAGGUCUUAGUCUUGGGGGCUUCCAGUAUGCCUCAAGGCCCGGAACAAACUAACCUCAUGAGUGUGGUAGGGUGAAACCCAUUGACAACGACUUUGCAAAGCAGUAGAAGCCACCACGAGUGCAUUACCCGCCAUAGCUCGACAUUCUAAGUCCGGACGAGUCAAGUCUAGAGUAUAACAUUGUUAGGAUGAGUGAUUCAGUUUACUUUACUUGAAUUAAACAUGUAUAUUGUGUGUUAUUAUAAUGAUAUGAUUUUGUAUACCUAGUUCACCCUUCUGUUUGUGUUUGUAUGUUUGUUGUGUGAUGUUUUCUUUUACAAUGAUCAUCCUUUAUAUAUGAGCAGAGGUAGAUGAGGUUCCCCUGAAGCAAACUUUGAAGAGCGAUGACACGACUGCCUAGUGUAGUUAGAUUGUCUCCUUUGUUUUGUAUAGUUUUAAAAUAUUCUAUUAUAAAUAAAGUUUUAAAUUUAUAGUCAUUUUGGAUGACUAUAAAAUUAACUCUUUAUCUGCAAAUCUUUAAUUGUUCUAUCAUAUUAUAAUGUUGACUACUAUUUAUAUAGUUUAUAUUAUAUAUUUUGGUUGUUACACUUGACUAUACAAAUUAAUAAUUCUUAAAAUUGUCUAUUUAUCAUGUACAUAUAAUCCUAUUAUAAUUUUUUGUCUUUGAGUUUUAUUGACUAAUUAAUAAAAAUUUUGGAUUAUAGUAUAUUAUAACUUUUAUCUCUCAUACUAUAUUUUAAUAAAAUCCAUAUAUUAAAUUUUUGUGUUCAAUUAAAUGUUUUGAAAUUUUAAAAUUUUUCAAUUGUGGUUAGAUUUUUUUGUUAACUAGGUAAUACGACACUUAUUUUAUCUUAUCACUUUUUUAAAUAUUGUGACAUAAUAUUUAGUAUUUCAUAAUUUUGUAAUUAUAUAUUUUAUAUUUUUUAAUUUUAUAUUUCAUAGUUCUAAUUAAAUUUAAAAAUAAUUUCUAUUGAAUACAAUAAAUUCUUAUAACUUGUUAUUAUAGUCUUUUUAUAACAAAAUAUCAUAAUUUUUUAUAAAAGAAUAUUAUAUAAAAUUAUUUGAGCGCGUUAAUUAACUGUCACAUUAAUUUAACUGUAAGUAUUUAAUUCAAAGUUAUAAAAUUUUGAGGAUAAAUCACAAAAAUUUAAUAGAUAUAUUGAGAGUUGCCAAAUUUACUGUUAAUAAAAACUUUUAAGCUUAAAAUUCCAUUAAUUUAUUAAUAAAGAAUAUUUUAUGCUUGAUAAUGAUUAAUUAUAUAAUAAUAUUAAUAUCUUAAAUUUCAUCAUAACCUUUUUAGAGCAUGCAACUUAAAAUCGAGGUGCAUCAUUAAAAACAACUUACUGAUUUCUUGGAUUUGAAAUGUGAGAAAUUCUUUAAAAAGUGCUAAUUGUAUAGUAUUCAUUGUACAUUUAUGUUGUCAAGUUAUUAAGUUAUUGACAAAUGAAUUUUCACUUCUUUUUUUCAUUAUUCGUCCAAGUAACACAAUAAAGGAAGAUUUUUUUUUUAAUUUAUUUAUUUAUCUAUUAUGAGAAUAAUUAUAAACAUACAAUACAAUAUUAUUAAUUAUUUUAUCUUCUACUGUGUUGUUUGAAAACUAAUAUUUAUGAUUAAUUUCCAACUUACAUAUUCCAUUGUUAAUAAUUCUUAUAGAUGUAAAAAAUCAUUAAAAUAUAUCUUGUUACAAAUAUUAAUAGCUUUUCAAAAUUAUCUUGAUCUGUACAAGCAUUUUUAUAUUAAUUUCUUUUAAAUAUUGUGCAUAUGAACAAAUAUAAUACAAUAUUUAGUUGUUACACUUUAAAUUUCUUUAGCUCAUCUUUGCAAAGUAAGUCUUUUUAGCUUGAUAUAAGACAUUUAACAUCUUUUAGUAUAAUUCAUCUCUUUAAUAUGUUUAGUUUAACUUUGUGUUUUGAAUUUCUAACUCGACAUCAUCCUAGGAUCCAUUUUGCUUAACUUUGUGUCUUAUAAUAUAUCUCUAACUCAAUUUUAUGUCAUAUUUCUUAAGCGUGAGUUUAUACUUUUAACAUUUUUUUUAUUAACAAGUCAUUACUUUUGAAUAAAUAAUAAUUUAUUUAAGCAUUAAAAUUCACUUAACAUCAUAUAGAGACUUAACAUAAUUUUAAUAUUUUUCUGGGUAGAGAGAGACCUUUCAUUUCAUGUCAUGUUUUAAUACCGUAAAAAGACAAUAUUUGACUUUAGGAAAGAAAUUGCUAAUUUCAGGUCACACAAAAGCUCUAAAAUAAAAGAAAAUACAAUAUGAGAUGAAAAACUCUAAAUAUCUAAUCUGCUCUUAAAUUUUCAUCCAUGUAUAUUUAAUUUGGCUCAUUUUCAUAAAAGAAAAUAAUUUCGUUUUUUAACAUGUUUAAUUUUUGCUCAGUUCAAUAUUUGUUAGCAUUUUAACUUAAUAUUAUAUAAUAAAUAAAUCAAAAAGUGAUUUCACAUAUAAAAUGUAAUACUUCUGAUUUCUAUUAUUGUAAUUUUUUUAAAUCUAGAUUUUAUCAACAUGUCACCACAAAUGGCAUUUAUUUUUAAACAAAAAAUGUCUUAAUCUUUUUUUUUUGUUGAUAUAUCUAAUAUGUUGUUAUAGUAUACACAUUAUAGGUUCACAAUAGUAUAGUGCCAGAUAUUAACAUUUAUGUAUUAAUAAUAUGCCAAUAUUUUCACCAAUAAAAAUUGAUAGAUAUUUUUUUUUUUGGAAUAUGGAAUAAUGAACAACUAAAGUCCACAUGGAAAAACAACAUAGUAGUCACAAGUAACAAUGAAACAUAAGAAAAAAAAAUAUCUGUUGAAAUUGUUGUGUGGACAGAAUGAAGUUGACGAUCGAAAGCUUCCAUAUAUAGUUUGUCUUUUUAUUAUGAGUAUGAUUCUAUACCUUAUACAUUACACUGGACGAUGAGAAAAUGCUUUGGAAUGUCCAUUUUUUAUAUGUUUACACAAAUUUUGAAAAUGUUAAAUAUAUAAAUUAUACUAAAAUUAAAAAAAUAACUUUAUUUACAUAUUGAUUUAUAUAUAUUAAUUUAAUCAAAUUUCAUCACUGCUUAUACAAUGCUACAUAGUUUGAGUGACUAUAAGUUUAUGAAAAACAUUGCUUUAAAAGAAAAGUUAUGAGAAAAUAUUCAUGGCUGACAUCUAUUUUGAAGGAGAUUUACAGCCACAAUUAUGAAUUAUAUUUGGCAUGAAUAUUCCUAAAAUAAAAGUUCUUCGAAGUUUGAUCUUCCAAUUUCUAAUGAGGUUAUCGUGACAACCAAGGUAGAAGAAAAAGACAUUUAAUGUUACCAUCCAUGAUUUAUCUUCCCCAACCACUUCAUUUGUCUGUUAGUACAAUAUAAUAUAUUGUUAGCAUAGAUUCAAAAUAGAGCACAUUUAUCUUUUUAAAAUAAUAGCAAUGGGUUAAAUUGAAUUUUAAUUAGAAAUUAAUAAUUUUCUUUUUCAUUUUCUAGCAUAUAAAAUUUUUGUGAAUUUAAAUGAUUUUUUUUUUCAUCACUACUUUCAAAAUACUUAGAUACUCUCAAGCGAAAUUAAGUUUCAAAAUGGAUAAUGAUAUUUAGACAACAUUUUUUUUUACAACAUUUAAACAUUAAUUAUGUGUCAAUAUGUGAUUGGUCAAAAAUUACUCCACAAUAAUAUUUAUGAUUAUUAUUAUUAACUAUGGAAUAAUUUUUGGCCAAUCACAUAUUGACACAUAAUCAAUGUUCAGACGUUGCCAAAAAAAUGUUGUCUAAAUAUCAUUAUCUUAACAAGAACCAUUAAUCCCUUUAUAUGUCCAAUCCUCAAAUUAACUCCUUAUUAAUUAUGCGUAGACAGUAAAGUUCUGUUUGUUAAUUGUAUUUUUAAUCUUUCACCUAUAUUUAUACGUAUAAAUAGUCAUUUCAGAAUAACAAGUUUUGUUAUAGUUAUAAUAAAACAAAAUUAUAAUUUUAGUAAAAUAAUUUUAUUGUUUUUAUUAGUUUUUUUUUCUAAAUUUUUUAAUUACUGUGGUAAUUUAAGAUCUGUUUAUUGUAAAAUAAAUUCUUCAAUAUACAAUUAACUUUAAAGCAAACAUUUUUCCAUUUCUUUCUUGCAUUGAAAAUUGAAAAUCAUUCUUUUUAUUUUUGUUUUAUAGAUUUAAAAUCUUUUAUAGUUCUUUCUUAUUAAUUGUAUAUCAAUAAAAACACAUUACCAAAUAAAGAUUAAAUAAGUUUUCAAUUAUGACAAUUAAAACGAAAAAACAAUUUCGUUACGAAAAAUAUGCAUAGCACAUUUUUAGUUGGUAAAGUAUUAGAGAUGUAACAUAAACUAUCGACUUGUCUUCAUUAAGCUUUUUAAAGUAGUAAGGUUCGUCAAUAGUUUUUCCUUUAAAAAAAGUGAAACGAUAAUGUAAGGAAACCAAAUUAUAAAACAAAGACAUUGCACCAAACAAUGACAGAUACAAAAUUAACUAAUUAAGUAUCAAAACAUAAACUUUUAUAAUCAAAAGUGACUUCAAAGCCACCAAAAAGUGGAUUACUACAAAACAUGAUAAAUAAUAAAUGUGUGUAUCAUUUUGUGUAAUUUUUUUAUAAUGAUAGUUUUGUUUUAUUACUAAUUGAACCAAAUAUCAAAUCAGACAAUUAAUUACGAUUAUUCUACAAACAUCAUAUUACAAAUACAGUUAUAAGUAAGUUCUCCAACACCAUUUUAAACCAAUACAGUUUAUAUAUUUACAUAAUUAAAAUAUAAAUUUUUUCUACUAACAUCAAAACAAUUUAGUACAUAACUGAAAUUUAUGUUUGACAUAUAGAUAUAAAAUAUAAAAAAAAUUGUAAUUGAAUAUUCAAUAUUUAUGUGUGACAUUAGACAUAAAUGUGCUUAAAAAAACAUAAAAUAUUCAUUUCUCUUUUUUUUUUCCUUACAAGAAACUUCAUCUCGAUAAUAAGGACUAUUUUUGUACGAGUUAGAAUUUCUAUUGGUAAUUAAAAUUUGUCUUUUUAAUCAUUCUCGUGUAAUUCUGAUUUAAACACUAUUUCGCUAGGACUCAUAUAGGAUCUAUAGGGUUAUAACCUUUUAGAAAAUAUAGAAAAUUAGUAAGAAUAUGCGUUGGAAAGUGAUUGAAAUUUCAAAUUGGACAGUAUUUUAGAAAUGUCGAUAUCUCGAACUAUAGAACUCUAAUUGAGGUAAUUCUAAAAUGAGGUGAGUAUUCACAUUUUAAACUUCAAUUUAGACUCAAGAAUCACUUAAUUUGGACACAUGGAAUGAAAGAUAUGACCAUGAGAUAAACUUGGACAAAAAUGAGUUUUUGAAUUCGGGUGAAGGAAGAAUAAUGGUGAAUAUGAAAGGUGGAAGAAAAAAAUCACUCUUUCAGAAGGAGACAACACACAAAGGAUGAAAAAGUCAUUUGACACGGUCAAAGAGACUCUUGAAUUACUUAAAAACUUAGGAGAAUCACUCUCACUAAGAUAAAAGAGAUAAACUCUAAUAUUUCUUAAUAAAAUAUAACUUUUUUCCAUGGAUAAAAAUGAUUUAGCUUAUAUAAAAGCUUUAGCUAUUAGAAUAACAAAAGAUCUAUUAAUUGUAAUUAUAUCUCACUUGAGCUAAUAAUAAUCUCACUAUUUAAUGGCAUAAUUGUGACUUUUCAAAAGUAAUAAAACUCAGUCCAUCACUUACAAAGUUAGCUAUCCACAUUCUUGGUAUUGUAACAACUCAUUCAUGCAAUUAUUUGCAACAAAAUAAAUAAAAUUAGUGCAAAAUAAAACAUGUUUCUUGACCACUCCAAAUUAGAAGUGUUACUCCUUUUCUUCAGUUGAAAUUACCACAAUUGAGCUCCAUUAAAAACACAAGUCACCUCUUUUUUCUUAUACUCGGUUCGAUUCUCAUCAUAACCUCUUUCUUCCAGAAGAUUCCUCUCGAAUCUUAAGGCUUUAUUUUCCUGCUAUAUUAAUAAAAGUUUAUUAUGUCCUUGUAAAGGACUUUAUUUUUCCACAUAUUGAAACUAAUUCUCAUUCUGCAAGAUCAAAUAUAACUUGAAUAAAUUCACAUUUGUUCCUUUUCAAUAUUUCAAUCCGUGGAGCACCUCUCUUGUCAACAUUCCCUCACCUUAAUAUGUAACAACAAAUAACUUCAUGCUUUGUGUUUCAUUAUCCUUAAGAUUUUUUUUUAAUCAACAGACUGGAUGCAUAAUGAAGCAUUAGGAACAAGCUUCCUUUUCGAGAGUUGAAAAAUCAUCACGAACAAUAGAAGAAAAAUCAUUAACAAAUAAAAUUUUUGUGCUCUUUUUCUUUUUCUUCAUUUUCUCUUCUUACUUUUAGUCUUAUUUUUUCUUUACUCCUUAUUGCUUCUUUUUCUAUUUUUUUUAUUUUUUUCUAUUUUCUCCUUUAGUCUAUGUUGAUCCUUAUUGACUUGUCUUGGAGGCACAACUUUAAACUUAAUUUUAUGUCCCUCAUGUCUCAAAUAAAGUGAGCCUUUGUCGAGAUUGAGUGCUUUAAAAUGAAAUCAUGAUCAUCCUAAAAGAAGAUGACAAGAGUCCAUGAGAGUUAUAUCACAUAAUAAUACAUUGUCCUAUAGUGAAUCUGAUCCAUGCUUGAUUCAAAUGAGAGCUUGUUGGUAAGUGGAGUUUCUCCACUAAUCUUUGGUUCACAACAUUGUUGUCGCUUCCGUAAUCGUAUACAACUAAACAUGGGUGACCUUCGACUAAAUACUUUGGAUAGCAAAUUUGUAUCGUCAUUCUAAACUCAGAACCUAAGCUCUGAUACCAAAUGAUGUAAAGUCCAUUUGCAUAAGGGCUAAUUUAGGAUCUUUACGAUUAAAACCUUGUACGAAAGUUGGAAAAUUACUCAGAGGGUGAAUUGGAAAGUGGUUGAAAUUCCAAGUUGGAUAGUAUUUUAGAAACAUUGAUAUCUUGAGUUUUAGGGCUCCAAUUGAGGUGAUUCCAAAACAAUAUGAAAGUUCUCAUUCGGAAAUUCAAUUUAGGCUAAAAAGUCGCUCAAUUUGGACAAGUAGAUAGAGAGUUAUUAGCACAAGAUAAAUCUACACAAAAUUGAGUUUUUUCUUAAUCCGGAAAGCGCAAGAGGUGAGUAUGAAAGAUAGAAAGAAAGAAUCACUCUUUUCAAGAGAGACAACAUACAACGGAUUAGAAAGUCUUUCGAUACAACCAAAGAAGUUAUUGUGGAGUUAAGGUUAAGUCUUCUUACACAAUUUAUCUUCUGACUCUAAGCUUAGGUUACAUUUUAGUCCUUAAUUUUCCUUACACCGUUUGGUUUGAUCGGGUGUCACCUAUAGAAGAUACUAGGGGUGGACAAAUGAAAUCGCACUGUACUGAAUUAAAAACUAGUUUGUUUAAACUGAACUGAACUGUAAAAUAGUUCAGACAAACUGAACUGAACUGUUUUUUGUUUUAUCAAACUGAAUUGAACUGUACUGUACUAAAUUAUACUAAACUACAAUAUAAACUGAACUUAACUACUAAAUAUACUAAUUUUAAACUGAAUUAUACUAAUUUUUAAACUAAAUAGUAUAAUAUACAUGUUCUUUUUAAUUGAAAUUUAUUUUAAUAUUUAUCUUAUUUUAUUCAUAAGUGUCUAAUAAAUUGAUUUUUUAAUUAUUUGGUAUUAUUAUUUUUUAUUUUAUUUAUAUUUCUUUUAUUAUUAAAAAUUAUUUUAUUUUUUAUUUAUUUUAUUGAUAAAAAAAUAUAAAAAAUAACGCCAUACACUACCAUAAUAUAUAUAUAUAUAUAUAUUAUGUAAUUUAAAAAAUAUAAAAAUAUAAAUUACGUUUUUUAUUUAUAUACGUUAUAUGUUUAUUCAUAAAAAACUAUAAAUUUUGUGAUAAAAAAAUUUUGUUUUAAAAAAUAAUUAUUAUUUUUUUUUUAUGUAAAUGGUUUCUUUUAUUAGUAUUUUAUUAUUAAAUAUUGUUUUUUUGGCAAGACGAAGCAAUUGAAUGAGAACUAGAAAAGACGAAAGAGUAGAUAUAGUUCUCACAGUUAACUGAACUGAAACUGUUAUUGAGUUCAAUUUUUAAAAACUAAACCAUAAAAUAGUAUACUGAACUUUUAAUAAGGGUGGAUCAGUUUUUUUUAGUAUAAUAUAAUAGAGUUAACGAGUUUUUUUAGUAUAAUACAGUACACGACAUUUGACAAUAAAUGUAUAGUAAAAGUAACUAACUACCUAAAUAUCAAACCUGUAUUUAUAGACUUUUGGAAUGGAUUUCGGAUUAGUGUUGGCCCAAUUACGACCCAUCCGCUAAUGACCUGACUUAGUGGUUAAUUAUUCUUAUUUGUUUAUCUUGUUAUAAUUCGACCGAUCAGUUUUCCGUUCUUUUGGAUGGAAAAUUAUGUUGACCACUCGAUCCAUAACUGAUAGGAUGAUAUGGUUAAUAUGUAACAUAUAUAUAAAUUAGAUAUUAAAAACAUAAAAUUUAGGUCACAUCACAUUAUGUAAUAUUAGUAUAACAAUAAUCAAAUUAUUAUUUGUUUAAAGUAAGUACUAUUUUCCAGAAAAUAUAUAAUUUUACUCUAAUUAUAUGUGUAUAUUUCCUUUUAGUAACAGCUAUAUAUAUUAUAAGAUGUUAUAACAUUUAUAAUGCAUUUCCUUUUUCACCUUCUUUAUAUAUUAUGGUACCUAAUAUCUUAUGCAUUUCACAAUGUUAGAAAACAAACUAUGAAUGAUUGUAACACACAAGUAAAUAACGUAACUCAAUAAGAACUCUUAUAUUUAACCUGAAAUCGACAGCAGACUUAUUGUGUGGAUUAUGAUUUGCAUAUAGUUUAACAAUUCACGUCUCUUAAUAAAUUGAAGUGACGUUUUUUAAAAUGUAAAAAAAAAAAAAGACAUAUAUAUAUUAUAUUGAAGGUGACUCUACUAAGAAUGUUCUCAGGUGACUCUACUAAGAAUAUUAUUUUUAAUGAGAAUAAUUUGUAAUAAGGAUUAUAACAAAUAUAGGCCACAGAAAUAAGAGUCAACUAUGGAAGUUUUUGUGCAUAUUCUUUAACCAGUUGUGAAAAAUUAAAUGAAGAUGCAUCUUCUCCAAAGCUGUUGCACUCACGCGCAUUUUCUCACCUGUUGCCUUUGACUUAGACAGCAAAUUCUAAUCAUCCUUCUUAUUUACUUAACUUACCAUAUCCUAGUUUUUGAUACAUUUUCCGUUUUUUUUUUAUGUGCAAGGUUAUUUUUAUAAAUUAAGAAAUAUAAUCAUUUUUAUUUUAGUUAAUGAUACAAUUUCAUAUUUUGCUUAUUUUUUUCUCUUUAUCUAAAACAAUAAAUAAAUACAUGUACAUCAUAUUUUAAAAUGAUUGUGAGAACGAAGGAUAUAUUAGAAAAAGACAAUAAAUAUGUUGGUGAAAUUCCAUAAAAGAUUAAUUUUAUACAAAAGACAAAGGAAAUGGAACGGAAGAAGUAAAAAUAUUGGCUACUUUUUACAAUUUCAAUUGUAACAACUCUCGAGAAAUUAUACAAAUUUAUUCUCUUUUAAGUAAUUAAAGUUGUAUAGAGAUAAAUUUUCAGAUAAAGAUGCACUAUACAUUAUAAUAUAUUAAUAAUAACACUAUAGUAUUUAAUUGUAAUGAUGAAAUAUUAUAUUUCUAAUUCAAUAAUAAAGAAAGAGUACCAUUGAUAUAUAUAAUUCUUCAGAACAAUAUAAAAAAGUAACAGAAUAUAAAUAUAUGAACAUAAAUGCACAUGUAUGAACAGAGAAUAAAAUAAUUCCAAUAUCUCCUCAAGCUGCAGUAUAUAUAUCCUUAAUGCUCAGCUUGGACAACAAGGAUUGAAAUUGUGCUGGAUGCAAAGCUUUAGUAUGAAUGUCUGCAAGUUGUGCUGAAGUAGAAGUGAGCAGGUUUUAUGAUCCUUUUCUACUUUGUCUUUGUUGCGGCAGCCCCCUAAAAGUCUCUUUUUCAUCUGAUGUCUUUUAUCUUUUACUUGCUGGUCAUAAACUUUUUGUCAUUCAUGAUCCUUCGUUUUUUUUUAUCUUCUUCAACACAGGACGUCGAUCAUUCCUUUCUUUUUGUCUCCCAUGGCCAAAGACAACUCUUCAUCUAUUAGCAACCCUCACGAGCCAUCAAAAUUAUUCACUUGCAUCACCCUUAACAGUGUCACCAAGCUUCUACCCUCAAAUUACCUCACUUGAAAACUUCAAGUUGAAGCUUUUCUUUAUGGCUAUGAUCUUCUUAAAUAUCCAGAUGGAUCCUUUCCUGCGUCGCCGAUGACGAUCUCCACCACCGUGGUACCUCCAACUCUGAUUCCUGCUUAUCAAACUUGUGUCGACGGGACCGUCUUAUAUAUGAUGUUCUACUCACCACUCUCUCUCCUGAAGUGACAUCCCUAAUGUCUCAAACAACGACAUUACAUGAUCUUUUAGAAGAAAAGAAAUGAUGAAAUAUUAUAUUUCUUAUUCAAUGAUAAAGAGAGAGUACAAUUGAUAUAUAUAUAUAUAAUUGUUCAAAAGAAUAUAAAAAAAAUAUAAAUAUAAAAACAUAAUAUAAAUAUAUGAAGAUAUAUGAUAUAUAAACUGAGAAUAAAAUAAUUUCAAUGUUAAUCGUCAAGUAUUUAAAGUUUACUCUUAUUUUUUUAAAUAUUAUAACAUUACGAUUUCAUAUUCAGUAUAUUCGAUCAAAAAUAACAAAAGAAUAUAAUUCAAAUAACAAAAGAAUACGACUCAAAAAGCUCGUGUUCUUUGUUUCAUCUACUAGUAAUUAUUGUAAAGGUGAAAAAAUCACAACACAAUUAAAAAGAGUAAACUAAUAUUACCGAUUCUAAACAAAAAUGUAAUUUAUAUUCUUAAAAAUAAACUAUUAAUAUAAAUUCCAAUGCAUGAUUAUAUCGUUACAUAUUUGUACACAUAAGAUUCAAAACAUUCUUAGACUCAAUAUCCGUAUUAAUGUAAUUACUUGAACACUACUAGAGACCUGUUAAAAUUUUCCAUAAAAUCUUUUCACGUUUUGAAAUAUGAUAAGUUAAGACUGGUUCAAAAUUUACAAAUCCACAAUCUUCUUCACAAAAUUAAUCCACCACAACUUAAUAGGAACCUCAUGUAUUCUUUAUCACCCAAAAUUUUAAUUAUUUUAUUCGUUAAGUAUGAUUUUCUUGAUCUAAAAUAACUCAUUAUAAUAAAAAAAUUAUAUAAAAUAAAUAAAAAUUAUCUAUAAUAAAAUUAUAAUAAAUAUAAAGCUUUUUUAAUUUAAUAAUAUUUUUAUUUUAAUAUUAUAAUAAUAUUUUUUAAUUUUUUCUAUUAUAAAAAAAGUGGGCAAACACAUGUAUAGACAGUGUUUCUACUAGUUUUAAUAAAAACAAUUAAUUUAUCGAUAAAAAGUAUUAUAACAAUAUAAAAAGGAGUAAUUUAGGAUUAUAAUUAAUUAUAAGACGUGAGAAUAUGUCUUUUGACUUAUACCCAAUCCUAUUUUCAUCCCUAACCAGUUCAUCAUUCUCAGUCCACAUUCAAUACCAACUACGCAUAAUUCCUUAUUCUUCUAAUCUACUUAGAAAAAAAAAAAACAUCUUACGUAACCACAAUGAAACUUUUCAAAAGCACUCUUCCUAUAAUUUUUCUUUGUCUUUUUGUCAAAUAUAAUUUAAACUUAUUUUUAAUUUUUCGGAUGUUUAUUUCAAUUUUAUAAAUAUUCAAAGCAUAAAAGAAUGUAAUUUUUUAUUAAAAGCAAAAUAUUUUUUCAUAAUUAUUUAAAAGUUACAUAAAAAUAUGAAUUGAUAUCUGCCUUCUUUUAGUAUAUAUAAUUAAAAUAAAAAUGAGAAGAAAAUGUUUCUACGGGUUCUAACCAUGUUAUCUUUUAAACUUAGGAUAUAAACUUAUUUUAUAAGUUGUCAUUGACGUGUGAAGAAUUUGUAACCAGUGAUGAAUUAUUAAGAAGUUGUUAGAAGGUCAAUUCGUAUAUCCUAUGGUUCAACAUUAUUUCUAGUCGCAUUAACUGCAUCCAUCCAUAAUUAGUUAAGUGUAACUUGUUUGACACAGUUCAUAAAAUAUCUCUUAAUUAUCCUAACUUCAUUCAUAUAUAUUUAAAAUGUAAAUAUCAAAUUUUCAUUUUUUAAAUAAAUUUAUGUUAAAUAUACUUAUAUAACAAAAUUCAUUAAUUAUUAUUUUAUUUUAAUGAGAAUGAACUAAAUAAAUAUUGUCCAUAUUAUAGUAAAUUACUAUAAGAAAAACUCUCUAGUGUUCUCAAUAACACAAAUACUGAGCCGUGUUUGUAUGGGGGAGAAAAUGAACACAGCUUCAACUUAUAAGAAACAAAUGUAAAUUUUUUUUAUCUUACAUGUAAGAAGCAUAACAUAUAUUAAUUAGUAAUCAUUAAUUUAUUGUUAAACUCUUAAUUUAUUAGAAAAUUGUUUUACAAGUCAGUCCUUAGGUUUUUCAUGUUCUCUUGUUUAGUUUUUAUUUAAAAUAGUAAAUUUAUUUGCAUGAGAGAAUAAAAUCCUCCAGGACACACUUUAGCAAUUUAAUUUUAAGAUAUACUUUAAAUUUUUUUGUAUACAUUCAAUAAUCUUAUAGAAGUUAAAAUAAAUAUUUUUUUCUUUCUUUAACCUUUCAAUAUAUUUUUUAAAAACAAAACUAUGACGAACCCGUAAAUUUCAAAACAUACAAUACUUGAAAAUAUAAUAUUGGUUUGGGACGAAAACAAUUUUUUUUAGUUCUCUAUUGAAUACUUUUUCCUCUUAUUACGUUAAACUUAGGAAAGGAACAAAAUUAAAAUUAUUCUAUCAAAAUAGAGUUGUUAUUUCUUAAUUGCAACUUUUCUUGAUCUUUUAUCUGUUGGCAACGUAUAUCUAAUAUAUAGAAUUGUUUUAAGUAGGAUGGACAAAAUGAGAUGUGUUGAAUUUUAUUAUUAAAAAAUUUAUUAAACUAAGUUAGCGAAGUGAACUAAACUAAAAAUUAGUUCAGAUGAAUUAUUUAUUUUUUCUAUUAAACUGCAUUGCAUUAAAUUAAAAUGAACUAAACUAAAUUGAAUUAUAAUAUGAACUGUUAUCUAUCUUAACUUGUUUUCGAACUACACCAAUUUUAAAUUGAACAAUACUAUUUUUGAAUUGAAUUACAUUAAUUUUGAACCGAACUACAAUAUUUUGGAAUUUAAAAACUAAAAAAAUGUAGUAUUUAUCCAUUUCAUUCAUAAUAUAGGUUCUCCCAUAAAAAAUAUUAAAAAGUUUAGAUGAGUCAGGUUGGAUCAAAGGUCAAGAUAGGAGAAGUCGUGCAAAAUGUCGAAAUAGGUAUGGGUCGAAAUUCAGUCGAAUUCUACUCAGACGAGCACUAUCGAAACUCGAUUGAGUUAGUCUCAACCUAAAAUCAAUUGAAUUAAGCUAAGAAGGUCACAAACAAAACUCAGUCAAGUCAAUAUUGAUUGAAAUUUGAUCGAAUUGGCGUGGGUCGAAACUCGAACAAAUUCGAUUGGAAUAGUUGAAGUUACAAGAAAACACUAGAAGGGGGAUUAAAUAGUGUUAUGAAAAAACUUUUUCAUUGAUGAACGUUUAACAGCCUUGGUAACGGUUAGAUGGUCUACACAGGUGUUAACUCUUUAGCAAGCAUACCAAAUUGUGCAAGUAAUAUAGAUUGUAAGUCCAUAUAUCGUUUUCCAAUGGAUUUGUGGUUGUUUAGGUAAUUAUGUUUACUCUACUAGUUUAGGUAAUGAAUACAAACAAUGAUUGGUUCAAGUAUAUUACAAACAUAAGAAAAUUACUGAAAACAACGAUUAUAAAGUUAUAUGGAUAAAGAUUCAUUGUAGUUGAAUUUCAUGACCUAAACUCUCUAAUCACUCAACCAUGUAAUAUAUACUCAACCAUGUAAUAUAUUUUUAACAUCUCACAUUCACAUCAUAAGUAAACAAGUCUUAAUUCCUUAACAAGUCCUAAAUUUUCAUAUGAAAAUACUAAUUCCUUAAAUAUUCAAAUACAAGAUUUACAUUAAACAAAUAUGUCAAGAAUGACAAAGAGUUCGUCUAUGUCUAGAACCAAGUCUCUUGGUUAUUCUAUCACGGUCUUGAUUCUAAAACACUUGUCAAUGUUUAGAUACCAAUAAAAUAGCAUAUAUAUAUAUAUAUAUAUAUAUAUAUAUAUAUAUAUAUAUAUAUAUAUAUUUUAUAAUGCAAGUGAAAGCAAGAGAGAAAACAUAUGAAUUCAGAAAAAUAUUCUAUUACAGGGAAAAACUUACAAAAAAUUUAGGUAUAUUAGUUUUUUUUUACUGUCUUAAUUUUUUUUUACUGUCUUAAUUUUUUUUUACUGUCUUAAUUUGUUCUUUGAGGUUUUUAAUCACUUAUAAUCACUAAACCUAAGUUUUUUUAAUCUAUUUUUAAAAUGAAAUCAUUUUUUUUCUGUUUUAUCAAAUUAAAGAAACAUCUCAUUCAAUUAUUUUCUUUUUAUAGAGCUUUUAUCUUUAUAUAUUUUCUUAUGCCACUUAACAUUCUUAACUUUAUUUGAAAUGUUAAGUUUUAUUUUAAUGGAUUAAAAGCUGUUUCAGUAUGUUAAAAACUUGUUUGAAAAAUCUUAUAGGAUUAGUGUUAUGUAUAUUAUUCUUAUUGUUUUCUUAAAGAGUUAUAGUAAGAGUCAAAAACAUAUUAGAUUGAUCAUAAUUAAACAACUGGAUAUAAUUUUUAUGAUAGAAGUAAACCAAUAUAAACUUUUACGUAUUUUUUUUCUUAUACAUUUUUAAUUGAUAUAUUGUUCUUUAUAUAUUUGGUGAACCUUCAAUAUGAUAUUUCAAAUAUUUUAUAUUUCUGUCUUAAAUAUUCUAUUUGAAUUAAUUAAUAUAAUUUUUUUUCUCGUUUUUCCUUCCUCAGUUUGCCGGCAACAUAUCCUUAAACACAACAAGCAAGGUUUUGCAAUCCAUUUUUAUGUGUGGCUGAGGCCUAGUCAUCCAAACAAGCAAAAUUAAUCCAUUUGAAAAUCAUUAUAAUAAGGUUCAAAUGCUCAAAAUAGAGUAAACAAAUAGAUUUAAAUAUAAAUAUACUUUUAGUAUCUGAAUUACACUAAUUCUCUUUAUAACCCCAUUUUGAUUUGAAGUUAGAAUAUGCUUAAAAAGAAAAGUAGAAAAGAAAGUGUUGGAUAAAAUAAUUAAUAAACAUCUGAAAAGGACAAUCCAUGCAUAGGUUUGAUUUGAUGUGAUCCACAGAAACACAAGUAGAUUAGAUCAAAUAAUAAAAUAAAAAGAGAAUGAGAAGAAGUGAAGUUGGUAGGAAAUGUUCUUUCUAUAUAAAUUCCAAAGAGAAAGGAGAUAAGAAAAUGAAACUUGAUUCAUAGUAUUUGGUGAUAUGGUAGCUCACUUUUUAUUUUAUUUAACUUACUAUAACACCACAAAAUUCAUUACAUAGGGUUUGGUCGGAACGUCUAUCUUUUACUCAAUCCAUCUCAUUUUAAUUAUUGUGAAAACAAAAUACUAUUAAUUCAUCAUUUUCAUUUAUAUUCUUACUAUUUUCAAUGUCGCUUUUAUUUUGAAUAAUAUUUAAAACCGAUUAAAGUUCUUUUUUAAAAGAAAAUAUUUUUUUAAUAUCUAAAAUCUAAAAUAUUGGUCAUAUAUAUAGAGAGAGAAAGAGUAUCAAAAUUUAUAUGUGUAUGAGAUAAAAGAUAUGGUGUGAUAAAAAGAGAUAGGAAGAAAAAAAUUAAAUACAUAUUUAUUUAUUUUUAAAAUCAGGAAUCUCUUUCAUUUAUUUGUCUAUUAAUGAUUAGAGCGAUAGACUCGUUAAACUUAAUAUUACUUUUUUUUAUCCAAUAAACUGAUUAAUGGAAAUUAAGGAAAAAUUUAUAAUUUGAUAUAUAAUAUUAAAUGUGUAUUUUAUUUAUAUAUCUUUUGAAAAGUAUCUGGAACAUUGAUGAUUAUCUACAAAUUGAAUAUAGUCGAGUAGCUAGACAUUGAACCAAAAGAAACGUCUUUAAGAAGAGUAUUAUUUUCCAUAUAAAGAAAAAAGAAAUGAAACAUAUAAAAGUUUAAACAGUAUUUUCAAUUUAAAAGAAUUUGUGGUGAGAAUAGAAAAUGGGGCGGUGCAGUGGUGGAUGUAGUGGGAUUGUGGGCCCCACCUAAAGCUUCCAUAAGCAAAACAAUGGCCAUAGAAAACCCUUCUUUCUCUCUUCUCUCAACUUUCAUCAUUCUUCAAAUGAAUCAAUCUUCCAAUGAGUGCAUCUUCUUCACAAGUCAAAUUUCAGAUUUUAAAUAUUUUUUUUAAUAUAUAAUAAACAAUGAAAUACUAAAAAUGAAAAUGAAACUCACUAAAUAGUAUAUAUAAAUGCUGCAUUUUUUACUUCACCAUGUUAAUUGGUGUUAAGUUAUUUACAUAACACAAUGACUUCAGCAAUGCAGUAGCUUGACGCAAUAAUGAUACUGAUUAAGUUGCUAAUACCUUAUUUUUUGUAAUUAAUCAUACAACAUUAUGAUAAGUGGUUUACACAUAAUAUAAAGACAUGUUCCGAAAGUGAGAGUGAGAUAUAUUUAAUAAUAUUUUUGAAAUUUCACGGUUGAAAAAAAAAAUGAAUGAAAUAAUUACAGUGUGACAUUGCACUGAGGAUAUUGAUAUUUUAAUAACUAUUUUUAACAAUUUUUUUAUAAUAGAAUAUGUAUCAUUAUUUUAUUGAUCUGUUUAAAUUUAUUUUUAAAAAAUAUGUGAAACGGAUCAAUUACAAAUUAUCACGUAAGUGUUAUCAAAAAAUAAUCGUUAAAACAACUUUCUCUUUACACUGAAGUGAUUGUUUGGUCGAGAAGGCUUGCGAAAAGUUGUAAUAGUUUGUAGUUCGGUCUUUGGAUAUGACUGCUUGCCAACGCAACACAUACCAACAAUUUAGAUGGAUCUAGUUUUCUUAAAUCCACUCACUUUAGAGAAAUAAAAAAUAAAUUAAAAUAGAGAAUUCUAUCAUUCUUUUUCAACACCAACCCUCCUAAAUUAUUUAUUUAUUUUUUUCUAUGUUUAUGCUACAUCCUAGUUAUCUAUACUUAUUUAUGUCUGUCUAUAACUUUUUCUCAUGUUUAUGAUAGUAAUUCUAAUGAUGGUAUUCAAAAGUCUACUUCAAUUUCUUUUAAGGAUGUGCCACUGUUCUUUUCGUGAAAAGUAAUUAACUAUAUUUUUCUCUUUUCAUUCUUUAAAAUAAAUUUUAAGAAUAAAUUCGUGAAAAAAAAAAUCAAUUUUAAAGUAAACACCCUUAAACAUAAUAAUUUAAAAAAAUCCAGAUGUGAAGCAUUAUUAAUACUUAGCCGAACAUUUCUCUUUGGUUUUGCAUUUUAGUCUUUGUAUGAUCAAUUAUACGUGCUGUUUAAGCUUUGCUUUAUGUUAAUAAAUAUUUUCAUAUAUUCUAAAUGAGUUGGCAGAAGCUAUGACUUUCCGACAUUGGCUGAAUGGGCUGUUUUCUUGUCAAACUUUCAGUUAAAAUAUAUAAAAAAUAUAAUAUUUUAGUUGGUGAUGUGUUCCAAAUAAAAUAAAAUCGUGGUAGUUGUAUUUAUCGAAAAAAUAAUAAUUUUUUUGAUAUUUUAACAUUUAUUUAAUAUUAUUCUUUCUUAAUUUUUAUUUUUUAAAAAAAUAUAAAAUUUUAUAUUUUUAUAAUCGUGUCAAAUAAACGUAAAAGUAUAUAAUAUUUCUUUUUAUUUUACUGAAUGAAAAAGUAGUCAAAGUGAUGUUAGAAUUACGAAACCCUAAACAUUCUGAAAUGUGAAGAAGUUGAUAAAAGUUACCUGAAAUGUGUCAUGAAUAACGUCAUCUAAUAGGGUUAUAGAAUAGUGCAUAUUUUGUUAUGGUAGUGGAUUGCAAGAAUUCAAACUUAAAUUGUUGAAACCUCCACGCUUUUAUGUAUUGGUAUUCAACGAAUUGACAAGUAAUCAUUGGUAGAAGCUUUCAAAAUCAUUAUUAGUAUGAAAAUUAAAAGAGAUUUCACAUAAUAUCAAUAUUAAUUGAUAUUAAUAACGUCAAAAUGAGUUUUCAUAACGUGUUUAUUACGUCCAAUUAGGAAUAUUUUAUGUACAAUUAGAAUACAAUUUUCCACAAAUUAGAAGAGAGGUUUCACAUUAGAUAGUUAAUCUGCUUUUAGGUUUUUAAGCCACACCUAAAAGAGAAUUAAUUAACUAUUUUAGAAAACGGGUUAGUAGCAUUUCUUAGUAUAUCUUUACUAUUAGUUAGAAUUUAUUUAAACUAUAAAAUUACGAGUAAAACUUAUAAGUACUUGAAGUUCAUAAAUUUGUGUGAUUUCACCAAAUUUAGUUAAAUAUAAAAAAAAUAUUUAAAAUAGUAUGUUUCUAACCUUUUUUAUACUGUAAAAAAAUAGAAAAUUUUGAUUGAUAAGCAAGUAUUUAUACAAAUGUAUAUUUUUAAUAAUGUCACUAAACAUAGAAUCGUUUUUUUUAUCUCAAUAGGUCAAUUUGUAAAUUUGAAUUAGUAUAAUUAUGUAAUUUUAUUUGUUAUACAUUACUAUUAAUGUAGCGUAAUGUAAUUUUUUACAUGUUUCUAAAAAUAUACAUUCAAUUAUCUUUUUUAAUUAUUAUUAUUAUUCAAUUCUAAAAUUUGACACAAAUGAACUAAGUACCAAUUCAAUAAUUAACUUGAAAAAUUAUAUUUUAUAUAAAAUUAUGGAUAACGUAAAAUUAUGGAUACAAACUGAUCCCUUUCCUUUAAAUUUUUAAAAUAUAAAGCAAUCAUUUUAUUUUAACCAAUUUCGUUUUUUGUUGCAUGAUAAAGUAUUUAAAAGGUAAAAAGAAAUAGAAUAAAAUGGUUUUAUAUUUACAGCAUAGUGAUCGACAAAAUAAAAUACAAUUUCUCUUCUAUUUUUUAAAACAAUUGCUAUUUUAAAGGUAAUGAAUUUUGUUCUCUUAUGUCUAUGUAAAGUUUUUCAGGAACCACGCUAUAAUCAUCAUUAGAUAUGAUUAUGCAAACUAGAAAGCAUUAUUAUAAAAAAAAACUAAAAGGUGUUAAGAUAAUUUACUUAUUUAUUAUAGAGAAUAAAAAUUAGCAAAAUGGUCUAAAUUUUAGGUGGAUUUCCCUUUAAAAUUAUCGAUCUUUUCAAUAGAUUGGUAAAAUGAACCACUAAAGUACCUACCUAAGUGGACCCAAUAAUAAUGAUUAAAAAACUUUAAUCAAAAUAGUACAAACUUUCCAUUGUUUCAUCAGAUGAAGUGGGGUCCAUUUUUUUUUUAUUAUUUUGGAUCAUAACCCAUGGCCAAUUUGAAAUGAAAAAGGAAAAUUUUGAAAUUUUAUUAGAAGAAAAAGUUGAAGAAUAAAAUAUUUUAUAUUUUUUGUUUACUUUAUUUGUAAUCAUAGAAAAAUAAAGUACUUAUUUAUUUUUGUUUUCUUUCCGCUCUUUUUUCUUUCCUCCAUCCACAUAUAGAAUACUAAAAACCCAAAUGCAAAAAAUAAUAAUUUUAGUAUAUUUUAAUGUAAAAAAAAUUAAAAUAUUAACGAAUUAAAAAUUAAGUGUAAUUUUUUAAUAUUUAUUACAGAAAUUAAUAAUCUGACCAUAUAUAUGACAUUUGUUAUUAGAUAAGGGUGUAAAAGAAUAUUAUCAGUGUAUUUUAAUUAAACUUAGAACCAAACAUCUUGUAACUCGGAAGAAGUUUUUUAAUAUGGGAAUGUACAUUUAUCAAUUUAUCUCCUGGUAAUUCACUGAAAAUAUAUUAUUUUUAAGAAACUUAAAUAAUAUGAAUAAUAUUUUAUAUAAAAUUUCUUUAAAUCCUUAUUAUUCGUAAAAGUAAUUUAGUUAAAUAGUAACUUUUAUACCAAAUCCGCCAUAGUUUAACAUUAUAUCAUGACAUCUUGUAUUUAUCUGAUAAUGUGUGAAAUAAUUAAAAAAUUAUAAUUAAAUUGAAUGUAUACUUUAUUACAGAAAAGUACUAAAAGAUAUAAGUUACUUUAUUUAGAUUAUGUCAUUAGAGGAAAGUAGUUGUUUUAUUUUGGGGGUUAUAAAAUAGUAAAUAUGGGGGCUUUAGAUAGUAAACCAAGUUUGGGUUUGCUGGUGAAGAAGAAAAGAAACAAAGCUUGGGAGUGAGCUUUAUUAGUCUUGGGGUGUGAAUGGAAGAUUAUUACAACUUGUUGACUAUUGGAAUUUUUAGCUUGUUGACUCAAAAGAUAUUCUCUUUUCCUGACUAAAGUGCUUUUUACCUUGUGUAAUUUAAUUUAAAGGUUUUAAAUGUUGCAUAACUACAUUUUAAUGUUCUAUUUAUGAAAAACAGUUAUGCUUGCAAAUGUAUUUUUAUGGAUUAUGAUUAUUUUAAAUAAUGUAUAUUUAAAUGAUUUACGAUUAAAGAUAUGGUUGUAUGAAAGAUAGUCAUUUAGAAAAUAAUAUAACCUUAUAUGAAUAUAUUAUGAGCAUUGAAUUAGGAAAGAUAUAGACCUUUUUAUUAACUUAAACCACAUAGGUAAAUAUUAGGUAGGGAAGUGAAAAGUUGAUAGAAAUUCUUAUCACUUAUUCAAUAUAUUGAAAAGUCAUACAAACUCAAGAAAUAUGUAGUGAGUUGCCUUGAUUACUUGUUGGAAUUAAAAUUAUAAGGCAAUUUAAAAAUUAAAUAUAUUUUGAAUAGAAUAUAUAUAUAUAUAUAUAUAUAUAUAUAUAUAUAUAUAUAUAUAUAUAUAUAUAUAUCACAAUUCUCAUUGUAUUAGGGAUAACAAAUGAUCGGGUCGAGCACGGAUAAUGUCUACCCGUAAUUUCAUCCGUCGGAUAAAAUUGUAUCCACUACCCAACCAGUUACCUACGGGUAUAUAUCUGUUUAUAGAAUACAUGCGGAUAUUUUAAAAUCCGUGGAUACUCAUAAAAAAAUAUGUUUUAUAUAUUUUUAAAAUAAAAUUUAAAUAAAAUUACUAUAUAUAUAUAUAUAUAUAUAUAAUAUAAAUUAAAUUAAAUAUAAAUUAAAGUUUAAUUUUAAUUAAAUUUAAUUUAAUAAAAUAUAAUUUAGUUUUAUUUUUAAUUAAAUUUAAUUAAAAAUAUAUAUAUAUAUAUAUAUAUAAUUUUUUUAAUUAUUUUUUGUGGGUUACGGGUAUUCGCGGGUUGGAUAGUAUAUUACCUGUACCCAACCCGUUUAGAAGCGGGUAUUAAAAUACCCGCUACCCAUUACCCGUGGGUAAUAAAUAUCCCGGAAUAAUAACUACCUGCCACGAAUUUUACCCGCGGAUAUCUGUACCUGCGAAUUUUUUUGUCAUCCUAAUUGUUACCUUAAUCUUGUGCAACCAACACCACAAACGUCAGUUUCUUAGCAUCCUUCUCUAUUGUAUCAUUUUUGUUUAAUCUUAGCGAUUUAAUCACAUGACUUAAAAUUAGUUUAAAUGGAGAAGGUUGUAAGAUGUACAGAGGAAAUGGUGGGUUGUAUGAAGGUGGGGACUAUUAAAAGGUUUAAAGAAUAAUUCUGAUGUAUUAUUUUAAAGAGUAGAGUACCAUAUACAUACAUACAAGGAUGAUAUAAUUCUUCAUCUAUUAAAGGAAUGACAGGUGCACAAAUCUGCACAAAUUGUAAUAAUAUUUAUAAAUUAUAACUAACACAAUAUUUGAUUGCCUAAUACUCAUUAAUAAAGUAUUUGACAUAUCUUAACACCCUCACUCAAGUCGGUGCAUGGAUAUCACACAUUCCAAACUUGAAUAGAGACUCAUUAAACAAUCUUCUUGACACUCCUUUAGUGAGAACAUCAGCCAACUACAAUUCUGAUCUUACAAAAGAAAAAUGAAAUUAUUUCAGCUUCAAGCUUCUCUUUGAUGAAAUGUUUAUCAAUCUUCACAUGCUUUGUUGUAUCAUGUUGCACAGGAUUUUAAGCAAUUGCUAUAGUCGAAGUAUUGUCACAAUACAAACUCAUAGCUUCAUUUUGUUUAAAGCCCAAAUCUGAUAGCACAUUUUUAAUCCACAAAAGUUCACACACACCUAACGUCAUGCCUCUGAAUUCUGCUUCAGCAUUAGAUUUUACUUCUCCAAGUUACAAGAUCAUCCCCAACCAAAACUACAACAACUACACCAACCACAGAAAGAAGAGAAAAAUUACCAACAACCUUUGCAAGUUGACUUUGACACUAAGGUUGACCCUAACAAGGAGUUAAAGAUUUCAUUUAAAUCAUCAAAUGUCAAUGAAGCCAAAGAGGAAGAACAAAUCAUAGCAACACCCCCAAUUUGAGACAAUGGAUCAGCUAAUGAAUGGGUUAUGCACAUAUGAAGUUCCAAGAAUUGACCCUAAUGAGAUUUUAAUGCCUUGUGCUCCUUCCUUUUCAGCCACCUCUACAUCUUCUUCAAAUUCAACCAACAUCCUUGAAGACCUGCAGCUACGUGAUUUUUAAUGGUUUUGUGAUUACAUUGAUAGUAGUCUUAGUAAUAACAAUAACAACCAUGAAGACAAGAACACCG